Molecule: ribosomal RNA, 402 nt
Filed under: uncultured bacterium
Lineage: Bacteria
Description: bacterial SSU rRNA
Rfam family: Bacterial small subunit ribosomal RNA
Source: RNAcentral
UAUUGGACACUGGGCGCAAGCCUGAUCCAGCAAUACCGCGUGUGUGAAGAAGGCCUUAGGGUUGUAAAGCACUUUCAAUUGGGAGGAAAACCUGCCGGUCAAUACCCGGUAGCUUGACAUUACCUUUAGAAGAAGCACCGGCUAACUCCGUGCCAGCAGCCGCGGUAAUACGGAGGGUGCGAGCGUUAAUCGGAAUUACUGGGCGUAAAGCGUGCGUAGGCGGUUCGUUAAGUCAGAUGUGAAAGCCCUGGGCUCAACCUGGGAACUGCAUUUGAAACUGGCGGACUAGAGUUUAGUAGAGGGGAGUGGAAUUUCAGGUGUAGCGGUGAAAUGCGUAGAUAUCUGAAGGAACACCAGUGGCGAAGGCGACCCCCUGGACUAGAACUGACGCUGAGUACGAAA